UACAGAGGGGGCAAGCGUUGUUCGGAAUUACUGGGCGUAAAGGGCGCGUAGGCGGCCUUCUAAGUCGAACGUGAAAUCCCCGGGCUUAACCUGGGAACCGCAUUUGUGACUGCAUAGCUGGAGUACGGCAGAGGGGGAUGGAAUUCCGCGUGUAGCAGUGAAAUGCGUAGAUAUGCGGAGGAACACCGAUGGCGAAGGCAGUCCCCUGGGCCUGUACUGACGCUCAUGCACGAAAGCGUGGGGAGCAAACAGG
Molecule: ribosomal RNA, 253 nt
Filed under: uncultured bacterium
Lineage: Bacteria
Description: partial 16S ribosomal RNA
Rfam family: Bacterial small subunit ribosomal RNA
Source: RNAcentral